Long non-coding RNA from Leptopilina heterotoma, 444 nucleotides. RefSeq lists it as uncharacterized. Lineage: Eukaryota; Metazoa; Arthropoda; Insecta; Hymenoptera; Figitidae. The transcript is spliced from 3 exons. The record is from RefSeq and is a predicted model, not a curated record.
UUGCUGAUGCAAUGAUGAGCUUCGUGGACGGAUUUCACUUUGAUUGUGAUUAAGCACAGCUUUAGGAAGUUGAGGCAGCACCAUUUGAUUGUAAUUUGCAUUCUGUAAUUGAAAAAUUAAUAAUUAAAGAGAGAAAUUUGUGAAACCUGCCUGCACUGGAGUACUGGCUUUUUCUGGAAGUGUAUUCUCCAGUGGAAUUAAAGACUGUGGAGUGGGUAGAGUAACACCGGCGAAGAAUUCAUUUUGCUGAAAAAUAGCCAUGUGCCUCGCCAAGAGAUCGCCUAAAGUUCUUCUAAUCAGGUUUGGGAAGAUUUGAACCAGAGGAGACGAAAGAACCGGAAAGGAAUGAUCGAGAUCAAAAGGAUCACUGAAAUUAAUAAGCAAGUUACUCUUUUUUUUAAACUAAUUAUUCUCAUAAAUUAUUUAUCUAAUAAUAGUAAAUUU